UACGAGGGGGGCGAGCGUUGUUCGGAAUUAUUGGGCGUAAAGGGUGCGCAGGCGGUUCCGCAAGUCCUGUGUGAAAUCUUCGGGCUCAACUCGAAGUCUGCACGGGAAACUGCGGGGCUUGAGUGUGGGAGAGGUGAGUGGAAUUCCCGGUGUAGCGGUGAAAUGCGUAGAUAUCGGAAGGAACACCUGUGGCGAAAGCGGCUCACUGGACCAUAACUGACGCUGAGGCGCGAAAGCGUGGGGAGCAAACAGG
Molecule: ribosomal RNA, 253 nt
Filed under: uncultured bacterium
Lineage: Bacteria
Description: partial 16S ribosomal RNA
Rfam family: Bacterial small subunit ribosomal RNA
Source: RNAcentral